RNAcentral lists this transfer RNA (84 nucleotides) under Phaeophyceae sp. Its description in RNAcentral is "tRNA-Tyr". It matches the Rfam family "tRNA". Rfam says of the family: Transfer RNA (tRNA) molecules are approximately 80 nucleotides in length. Lineage: Eukaryota; Phaeophyceae. The record is from RNAcentral.
GGAGGAAUGGCUGAGCGGUCUAUAGCAGCAGAUUGUAAAUCUGUCGGGUUUUCCCCUUCGUAGGUUCGAACCCUGCUUCCUUCA